Non-coding RNA from Petromyzon marinus (sea lamprey), 361 nucleotides. The record is from RefSeq and is a predicted model, not a curated record. Lineage: Eukaryota; Metazoa; Chordata; Hyperoartia; Petromyzontiformes; Petromyzontidae.
UAUAUGGGGGAUCUUUGUCUUUGUGUGUGAAAGUGACUGAGUGUGUGUGUGCACUUUGUGUACAGGGCACAUGAGGCGUCCUUAGAGAAACCAGACGGCCUGAGAAAGACCGCCCUAGCGACAAGGGCACAUGAGCCGGAGUCUGCAGAGAAAUUCGACGGUCUGAGCAAGAGGGCCCUAGAGACGAGGCUCUUGGAGAUACUGAACCCGAGCCCUCUGAACUACGAGAAGCACGACUUCCAACUGCAGGCGAGGUCGUGGAGGCGGGCCGCACGGCCCACCUGGGACGGGGUGGUCGCCCACUCGGCUCGGCCCUUCACCGCCUACCGCUCGCUGGACGCCGUGCCCUUCCCCGGCGACG